This is a non-coding RNA of Paramuricea clavata, 765 nucleotides long. Lineage: Eukaryota; Metazoa; Cnidaria; Anthozoa; Malacalcyonacea; Plexauridae. The record is from the annotation of a GenBank genome assembly.
AUUUGAAUGAAGUGACACUAGGUUGUGUUGUGUAGAACAGCAAAUCUGUCAAUCUUGUUCCCAAAUCUUUUUUAUGUCACAAGGGUGAACAACUUAAAAACUGUAUAUUUGUUGCUAUUGGAGCACAACAUGAUCACUGAAACUUCAGGUAUUGUUAGGUUUAUAUCCCCAGGUGUUAAUCCGGACCCCCAGGGCCACCGAAAAAUUGUUACAAUUCUUAGACUCAAAUUUUACUCAGUCUCCAAAUCAUACUCCGAUCUUGAGAAGGGGCCCAUUGAAUUUUAUGUUUAGUCCCUGUAUUGUUGAAGACUCUUUUUGCAUACCAAAGACCUUAAAGGGCUGUGUAUCUCCCCCAUCUUCAGUGGUAUGGGGGCACUUUACCUACUUUGUGCCUACAGUAUAAACAAGGUACCUGCACAGGCGUUCACACUCUCCCAGGGUAGCAAAAGGCACAGUCAGUAGUUCGGAGUGUAAGGGGAUCUGGGUUCAGCUGAUAAAAACUUUGCCUUCGGUCUGUAGAUCAAUUUCACCAAGUGCGAGAAAGCUGAUACUGUACCAAUACUGACCAUUUGAAGUUUUUAUUUUAACACUAUCCCCCACCCCAAUCUGGAGAACUCUUUUUUGUUACUACCCCAUACAUAUGUUACCCCACCUCCCACGUUAAGCCCUAUAUUUGUCCGCCAUAUGUAAAAGGCCAUAAGGUGACAGUUUUAGCAUAACUGUAUAUGAAAUGUAUUCUUGAAUAUAUGAAUAUAGUUACAAGCC